This 5809-nucleotide long non-coding RNA is filed under the name Homo sapiens (human). RNAcentral's name for it is "HSALNT0120485". The record is from RNAcentral. Lineage: Eukaryota; Metazoa; Chordata; Mammalia; Primates; Hominidae.
AGGAAGUUUUAUGAUCUGACCAUCACCGGUGGCAUUUUCUCUUCUCAUCUCUUCUGUCUUGCAGCUCACAAGAGCCCAGUGCCUCCCAAUGUAUAGGCACAAAGUAUGGAUGUGCAGUGGCCCCAUAAUAUGGUACUUAGCAUUACAAAUGGUUUGAGAUCGCAUAACAGUCUCCCCAAAUCCAGCAUGUCCAGUGCCCUCGAGAUGGGGCAGCUGCCGGAAGGUGUGAAUCCACUGGUCUAAUGGAGCCAACUGAAGACACUGAGGAUCCUGCUUCAUACAGCUGUCUGUCCUCCACAUACAGGAAUUGGUUUAUUUUGGCAUACACUGAUAAUCAAAACCGUGCACUUCCUGUGUCCUGUGUGGACAUCUGUUAAUGAUGCAAGAGGAUCUAUAUGAACAUUAGAUUCUAUCUUGAAUCUAACUCUAUACUGCCUUCAACUGUAGCUUUCUCUGGCUUUUUAGAUUGUUUUCCAGGUCCCUCUUGAGGUGCUUUUCAGGUUUACUAGAUAUUUCUUCUAUUGUCACCACUGUGUCGAAGGAGCAGAUCAUGAACCUUGGUCUUCUUCAGCUCAUGCAAGUCUGUGGACGCUUACAAUGUCUGAUGUUCCCUGGCUCUUGAAUGCUAAGGCUGCCACUUCCACCAACAGCAACCUUGGGCUCAAAGGGAUGCCUUCUUUUUAGGCUCCAUCUUCUUCUAAGGAGGAUGAUUUCUAUUCCAGGUUUUAUUGUUUAAUAUUUAUGUAACCAAGUUUUCUGUAUUUAUUUUAUUCCAGCUCAGAAAUGAAUCAGCUUUAUCUGCUCUCUGGUGAUUAAUUCUCAUUUUGUCCCUCAGUCUCAUUUUGCCUAGGAUUAAGAGCUAGCCUUAGAAUGAGUAAUGGGGGUAUUCUUAUUAGUUGCCACCAGUGACCUCAUGAGUGUUAGCCCCUAGCUCUCCACCUGGCUGCUCCUGCCUACUGACUGUAUACGUAGUUUUGGCAUUUAUUUCCAGUUCCUUGAAGGACUUUUCCAGAACUAAAGUAGUAAAACACCCACCCAAUCACUGCAGUUCUAAUUGAGCAUCCUGGAUCCAUUCCACUACAUUAUGUGCCACACUACUACCCAGAUGAUAACUCCAAACCCAAAUCUGAUGGGAGCCACUGCUGCUCAGGCCACCCCAACCUGAGUUUUAGAAUAAUGUUAACAGAAGCAGCUAAGCAAUUACUGUUUCAUUUUUGCCUUUAACCUAUCUUGAUUGAACAUCUAUGCAAAGCUCCUGUUACACAACUCCAGAAGGCUCUAUUUAUAUAGGCAACUGCAUGAACAGUGACCCUGGGAUCUGUGCAGCCUUGCAGUCCUGUUCCACUGCGCAAGAUAUGAGGGAUACAAUUUGAAUAAGACAAGCCCAGUCUCUCCUCACGUGAGAGAGCACUAGGUGCUUUGCAAAGUCCUCCUCAAUCUAUUCUAAGGGCCUGCUAGGGGUGGCUUGGUUGGACUCCGUGUACUACCCUCUUGGCUGCUCUGGUAUCUAUUAUUUCCCUUCUUUCCAGCUUUGGCUCACUCAGAUGAUAACUUCAGUUGCUGUUGACUGUAAUGGAGCCACUAAGGCCACUAAUGCUUGUAAAAGACUGCACAGCCUUUUUUGCCCAAAGAUGUGUUUUUAGACGUCACUGAUUCUCACCCAGCAAUGCACAGUCUUGAGGAUUUCUAUAACUUCAAAGGCUACUAGCACGUUUUUUGUUCUAGCUUUUUGAGGUUUUACCAGCUCACACUAUUGCAGUCCGUUUCCUCUGGACUCAGACAAGUAUCACUGGAGAUUGGACUAGAAGAUCAAAUUGGGAAUACUCCAUGAUCUCAUCUCCCCUGCUAGAAUGUCUUAGUGGUAACUUUCACUACCAGAAUAGGCUUCCUGCUUUUCAGUGACCAAAAUUGAUCCCAGCCUUACCUCCUACAGUUUCCCCACAUGUACUGACAGUUCAAGAUGUACCAAAUCAUUUUAGUUUUCUUUCUUCUUCUUCUUUUUUUUUUUUUUUUUUUUUUUUUAAGAUAAGAUCUCACUCUGUUGCCCAGGCUGGAGUACAGUGGCACGAUCACGGCUCACUGCAGCCUCGACCUCCUGGAGUCAAGCGAUCCUCCCAUUUCAGCUUCCUGGGUAGCUGGGAUUACAGGUGCACGCCACCAUGCCCAGCUAAUUUUUUGUAUUUUUUUAUAGAGAUGGAGUUUUGCCAUUUGCCCAGGCUGGACUCGCAGUCCUGGACUCAACCACCUUGGCCUCCCAAAGUGCUGGGAUUACAGCCCUUCUACCGUGAAGGUGAGCCGUGAAGUCUAUUGCCCAGGGAUUGGGGACGUUUGUAUUAAAGAAGGUUUUGGAGUACAGAAGCAGGAAGAUGUGUUGUGGAGAUGCUGUUGGCAGAAACAACUGGCCUUGACUAAACAAACCAAGAGUUCCUACAGGAGCAGAGGCAACCGGGUGAAGGCUGACGCCCUUGCACAGGCUUGGGCAGCUCUUCUCCACAUGUCCACGUGGCUCACUUCCUUACCUACUUCAGGGCUCUGCUCACACGUCACCUCCUCAAGAAGGCCUUCCCCAACUACCCUGUCCUCACUCCCACCCCUUACCCCUGCAUUCCCUGUCCCUCUCACUCUGCUGUGGUUUAUCCUACCUGACAUAGAACAGGUUUAUCUCCCUGUUGUCUAGCAGGCUUUUAUCCAGUUCUGCUUUGCCGGACUGUAUUAAGUAAGUCUCAGUUCCUGGGCUUUAUCACUCAGCAUGGGUGGAACACACGAAAAUGGGAUUUUCCUGUUCCCACUACAGCACUUUUCUUGUGGAUACCACAUCUCCCCAUGUGCAAUAUUCUAUUCCCAUCUCACUCUUACCUUGUGCAGAGCUAUUUUCUCAGAGCAUGAGUCUCUGAACGGAAAAUCUACUGCUUUGUGCCCUGCCUGAGGAUAAGCUUCACCAGAGCAGUCUAUAUUGUUGUUGCUGUUGUUGUUGUUUAUUGCUGUAUUCCUAGCUUCUAGAACAGUGCCUGGCAUGGCAAUCAGUGGCAUGAGUAAAUUUAUGAGUAUAUAUAAUGGACAAGUUUGGGAGAAGAUAAUUAGUUUGGAAACGGGAGAGUUUAGUGGGAGAGACAGGGCCCUGACUACCUCAAAAAGCAGCAGUACUAUAAGAGGACAGAGUUUCUAUUUUUCUGCCUGGUCUAGGACUUGUACUGGUCUUUCAACUUGAAUUCAUGCAGCAAGACAGUGGUGGUGAAAAGAUAAAGGCAUUUCUACCUGGGUAGACAGUUUCUUUUUCUGGAGACAAGAAUUGAGAAGGCCUACCAGAUUCUGGCAGUGAGUUGACUGUACUUGUUUUUAGCAUUGUGAAUUUUUGCCUUCAUAUGAAUUUAAGUAGGGAGUUUAGCAAUGCUGUUUCAGGGUUUCCAUCCAGAUUUUCCGUUUCAAAUUGGACAUCUAUUUGCACCUUUAAUUCGCGUAACAAAUACUUCACAGAGAAUACAAAGUUGAAUUAUGGGCAGCUCAAUUCAUCCCCCCAAAGGCAGACAAGAGAUGGCAGGUCCAAGUUAUGCCUAUAUUACACAGUAGAGAUUAUUUUAAGUGUUUUGUUAUUGCUUCCAAGUUCACACAAAUGCUUCUUACUAAUUUAUAUUGGUCACAUUCACUAUUCUUAUUUGGUACUCAUUAGUGACUUUGUACUCUCUUAAAGAAAAUAAACCUCCAGAUUAACUAAAACAUUUAAAUAUGAAUUGUACAUAGGCUUUAUUCAUUUAUAAAAUGCAAAGAAAUUAAGAUUAAAAGGAAAACCACAUCAAAACCCAGAGACAUAAAUAAAAUGCAUUUAAAUGGCUCUUUGGUAGUUUAUUGAUGCUGAGAUAGUUUUUUUCUCCCCUUGAAAAUAUAUAAAAUUUUCUUUUCAUCUUCCCUGAAGCAUAUCCAAAUAAGUUAGUGACUACAUAAUUAAUAUCCAGGUAUUUUGUGAUAUUUGGAUAAUAGGCUUCAACUUCUUCUAAACUUAUUUUAUAUUUCAGACCACACAUUUGCCGUUUGUUGAUAAUGUUUUUGGUUGCAGCCUGAGAUAUUUCCAGGUCUAAAGCCAGGUUCACAUUUUGCUUUGAAGAGACAGAAAUUCCAAACAAAUACAGAUAGUCAGGCCAUAAACUUAAUUAAAAUUUCUGCUUUACUGGAUGUUACAUUAAAUAUGGCCAUAAUGCCAAGAGAAAUACUUGAAAAAUCCAUUUGCAUCCACAUACUGCUGCUUCCACAUAGAAUAAAAUAACAAAAUGCUAAGAAGUACAUGUUUGUGUGUAUGUGUGUGAGAGCACAUUUGUAUUAAGCUAGUUCUCUCUUUUGGCUGGGUGGCCAUACUAGUCAUAUUUUGACUAAUAAAAGAUUUUUUAAAAAAAAUUUAAAAUUAAUUUUUUUUUUUUUUUUUUGAGACCGAGCCUCCCUCUGUCACCCAGGCUGGAGUGCAGUGGAGUGAACUUGGCUCACUGCAACCUAUGCCUCCUAGGUUCAAGCAAUUCUCAUGCCUCAGCCUCCUGAGUAGCUGGGAUUACAGGCAUGCACCACAAUGCCCAGCUGAUUUUUGUAUUUUUAGUAGAGAUGGAGUUUCACCAUAUUGGCCAGGCUGAUCUCCAACUCUUGACCUCAGGUGAUCUGCCUGCCUUGGCCUCCCAAAGUGCUGGGAUUACAGGUGUGAGCCUCGACACCUGGCCUAAAAGAUGGGUUUUAAUUAAAAUCUGGGAUUGGCCAGCUCCAUAUCUGUUAACUUUCCCAUAUAGUGCUGGAGCACUAAUUUAGAGAGCUUUUGAACUACUGUGUGGUUUGUCUGCCUCCUUUUUGUGUAAAUCUAGGACAUCUUUUUUUUUUCUUUUUCAAUUUGCCUGGAAUAUUUUCUUAUUUAGAAUUCUAUGGAGAUCAUAACUCAUCUCCAGGAGAGUGAACAAGGUCACUCAUAGGAAGGUGGAGCAUGUCUUUCUUAUACAAUUGGAAGGGAGGAAGGGACCCAGCCCUGUCAUUUACAGGUGAGGACUCUGUGUCCCAGGAGGGCAAGGGAACAUGCAGAGUCUGGUGUGGUGAGCACAGGCCAAGCCCUGUGCAGAUGGGGCAGUGAGAGCAGAAAGGACGGCUGGGGCCACAUUUGACAGGUCUGGUUGACCCUGCAGUAGGACAUCAUCCAGAAUUUCCAUUAGAUGCCUUAGUCCCAAUUCUUCAGAAAGAAGGGCUUGAGAGCAAGCCUAUGUAUGAAGUCUUUAUUGGUGAGUAUGAUCCCAAAGAGGAGUAGGGUUGUAAACCAGGAAAGACGGGUAAGUCAGCCACUACAGUCAACUGGUUGUUCUGCCCAUCAGGACCUUGUGAGGAGCCUAAUGAAUUGUAGCCUGGGACCCUCUGUCAUGGGUUGAAUUGUGUUUCUCCAGGAUUCAUAUGGUGAAUUCCUAACCCUCAGUAUCUGAGAAUGUGACAGCAUUUGGAGAUAGGGCCUGUAAAGAAGUGAUUAAGAUAAGUGAGCCUGAUAGAAUGGGCCCUGUUUUAAUCUGACUAGUGUCCUUUUAGGAACAGAAAAUUUGUACACACACAGAGACAUCAAGGAUGCAUGUUCACAGAGGAAAGGCCAGGUGAGGCCAUAGCAGGAAGGCGGUCAUCUGCAAGCCAAGAAGAGAGACCUCAGAAGAAACCAACCUGCUGACACCUUGAUCUUGGACUCCCAGCCUCCAGAAGUACGAUAAAAUAAAUUUCUGUUGUUUAAGUCACCAGUCUAUCGUGCUUUGUUAUAGCAACUCUAGCCAACUCAUACGUUCUUUGACAGGGAAAAAGAAAGACUUCAAGU